Molecule: ribosomal RNA, 497 nt
Filed under: uncultured bacterium
Lineage: Bacteria
Description: partial 16S ribosomal RNA
Rfam family: Bacterial small subunit ribosomal RNA
Source: RNAcentral
GAUGAACGCUGGCGGCGUGCCUAAUACAUGCAAGUCGAGCGAACGGACGAGAAGCUUGCUUCUCUGAUGUUAGCGGCGGACGGGUGAGUAACACGUGGAUAACCUACCUAUAAGACUGGGAUAACUUCGGGAAACCGUAGCUAAUACCGGAUAAUAUUUUGAACCGCAUGGUUCAAAAGUGAAAGACGGUCUUUCUGUCACUUAUAGAUGGAUCCGCGCUGCAUUAGCUAGUUGGUAAGGUAACGGCUUACCAAGGCAACGAUGCAUAGCCGACCUGAGAGGGUGAUAGGCCACACGGGAGCGGAGACACGGUCCAGACUCCUACGGGAGGCAGCAGUAGCGAAUCUUCCGCAAUGGGCGAAAGCCUGACGGAGCAACGCCGCGUGAGUGAUGAAGGUCUUCGGAUCGUAAAACUCUGUUAUUAGGGAAGAACAUAUGUGUAAGUAACUGUGCACAUCUUGACGGUACCUAAUCAGAAAGCCACGGCUAACAACGUG